This is a long non-coding RNA of Pomacea canaliculata, 372 nucleotides long. RefSeq lists it as uncharacterized. The transcript has 3 exons. The record is from RefSeq and is a predicted model, not a curated record. NCBI's taxonomy places the organism in Eukaryota, Metazoa, Mollusca, Gastropoda, Architaenioglossa, Ampullariidae.
AGUGCAGAAGAACGGAACACUAAGCGACGUGGAAUCAUGGAACAACGCACUCGCCUGACUUCCAAUGGAAAGGAGUUUCAGUCUAGCAAAAGAUCAGCCUUUGAAAAGGAACAGGUUGGAGUAGAUGUAAAUCGCCUUCUGGGAGAACCUCGUGAAUAAUCCAACAGAAGAAACAUCGAUCAGUUGUGAUUAUCCGUGAGCUCUGUCAACGUAUUGAAGUUCAGCGGUUUCUUCAAGAAAACUGUCUUCGUGCCUGAUGUCUCGACAGCUUGUUGUCUGAGUUGCACACUAUUUCUCCCUCUUUCUCUCUCACACGCACAGCCACUUAUUAUUACUUCUUUGUGUUGAGCAGUGUUUGUUUAUUCAAUGUUG